RNAcentral lists this ribosomal RNA (500 nucleotides) under uncultured bacterium. RNAcentral's name for it is "partial 16S ribosomal RNA". It matches the Rfam family "Bacterial small subunit ribosomal RNA", at positions 30 to 523 of the family's 1533-position model. The record is from RNAcentral.
AUUGAACGCUGGCGGCAGGCCUAACACAUGCAAGUCGAGCGGAUGACGGGAGCUUGCUCCUUGAUUCAGCGGCGGAUGGGUGAGUAAUGCCUAGGAAUCUGCCUGGUAGUGGGGGACAACGUUUCGAAAGGAACGCUAAUAACGCAUACGUCCUACGGGAGAAAGCAGGGGACCUUCGGGCCUUGCGCUAGCAGAUGAGCCUAGGUCGGAUUAGCUAGUUGGUGGGGUAAUGGCUCACCAAGGCGACGAUCCGUAACGGGUCUGAGAGGAUGAGCAGUCACACUGGAACGGAGACACGGUCCAGACUCCUACGGGAGGCAGCAGUGGGGAAUAUUGGACAAUGGGCGAAAGCCUGAUCCAGCCAUGCCGCGUGUGUGAAGAAGGUCCUCGGAUUGUAAAGCACUUUAAGUUGGGAGGAAGGGCAGUAAGCUAAUACCUUGCUGUUUUGACGUUACCGACAGAAUAAGCACCGGCUAACUCUGUGCCAGCAGCCGCCGUAA